GUCUGGUGUCCAGCAGCCGCGGUAAUUCCAGCUCCAAUAGCGUAUAUUAAAGUUGUUGCAGUUAAAAAGCUCGUAGUUGAAUUUCGGGGUUAGUAGGUUGGUCAUGCCUCUGGUAUGUACUGGUCUCACUGAUUCCUCCUUCCUGAUGAACCUUAAUGCCAUUAAUUUGGUGUUUUGGGGAAUUUGGACUGUUACUUUGAAAAAAUUAGAGUGUUUAAAGCAAGCUAACGCUUGAAUACAUUAGCAUGGAAUAAUGAAAUAGGACGUUCGAUCCUAUUUUGUUGGUUUCUAGGAUUGACGUAAUGAUUAAUAGGGAUAGUUGGGGGCAUUAGUAUUCAAUUGUCAGAGGUGAAAUUCUUGGAUUUAUUGAAGACUAACUACUGCGAAAGCAUUUGCCAAGGAUGUUUUCAUUAAUCAAGAACGAAAGUUAGGGGAUCGAAGACGAUCAGAUACCGUCGUAGUCUUAACCAUAAACUAUGCCGACUAGGGAUCGGAUGAUGUUAAUUUUUAAUGACUCAUUCGGCGCCUUACG
RNAcentral lists this ribosomal RNA (532 nucleotides) under uncultured Glomus. RNAcentral's name for it is "SSU rRNA". It matches the Rfam family "Eukaryotic small subunit ribosomal RNA", at positions 559 to 1092 of the family's 1831-position model. The record is from RNAcentral. Lineage: Eukaryota; Fungi; Glomeromycota; Glomeromycetes; Glomerales; Glomeraceae.